GGAGAUGUACCCAAGUGGCUGAAGGGUCUGCACUCGAAAUGCAGUAGGUCGGGCAACUGGCGCGAGGGUUCAAAUCCCUCCAUCUCCG
This 88-nucleotide transfer RNA is filed under the name bacterium. RNAcentral describes it as "tRNA-Ser". It matches the Rfam family "tRNA". Rfam says of the family: Transfer RNA (tRNA) molecules are approximately 80 nucleotides in length. Their secondary structure includes four short double-helical elements and three loops (D, anti-codon, and T loops). The record is from RNAcentral.